Meriones unguiculatus (Mongolian gerbil) is the source of this 551-nucleotide long non-coding RNA. RefSeq lists it as uncharacterized. Lineage: Eukaryota; Metazoa; Chordata; Mammalia; Rodentia; Muridae. The transcript is spliced from 3 exons. The record is from RefSeq and is a predicted model, not a curated record.
AGUGGGCAGGGAGAUCACUGCAAGAACCCGAGAUAAGUUGAGUGUUUGCAGCAAAAGUUCCCCAAGAGCAAGGUGCCCUGAUGUUCCCGACUCCAGGCUGGACAGCCAGUGGACGGGGUGAUCCAUCUCUGGCCACCGAGGAGAGUCCUGUUCCAGAGUUUCUCCACAUAUCCAUCCUGGCUGUCCUGGAACUUGCUCUGUAGGCCAGUCCUGAAGUUCCCAGAGAUCCACCCGCCUCUGUCUCUUCAGAGCUAGGAUUAAAGGCAUGUGCCUAAAAUGUAUAUUAUAAGAUUCUUAUUUCAGUGGAAAAAUUCUGUGAUCUCCUUUGAACACAGCAGCAACUCAUGCUCGGUAAAGUUCACGAGAGGAGGCCCUUGCGGAGACAAACCUGCCAGCCCUCCCGCACUAGAGAAGAAAGAGAGCACGGUGCUCGCUUCUGACGUGUCCUUGUCUUUGCAAGUCCAUGUUUCCUUCGUCACAGCCCUCACAUGAUGCAGGAGCGUCAACCCUGGAAGUUUCUUGGGAACAGAGAACAGCUUCGGACACAGACU